ACAGGGGAAGCUAAAGCAGAAGCGCCGGUCUUGUAAACCAGAAAUUGAAUUAUAUUUUCUCCCUGUG
RNAcentral lists this transfer RNA (67 nucleotides) under Pista cristata. Its description in RNAcentral is "tRNA-Thr". Lineage: Eukaryota; Metazoa; Annelida; Polychaeta; Terebellida; Terebellidae. The record is from RNAcentral.